UACACUCAUAGUUACUAGUAAGUUACAUCAGAUCAUUCUUCUUAUAGGCUCUUUAAAAGUUUUAAAAGGCAGAUCCUUCCUGGAAAAGCUCCCUGAUCCAGAUCCAGAAGCUCCAGGUGGAGCUGGCCAUUCUGAAGAGCUGUCAGCCAGGCUCAGUGGAAGGGGAAGACUGAAGGGUCCAGCAGAAGCAGGUGGGCUACAUGACCGGAGGAGGGAAAAACCCUGCCAUUACACACAGCCACUUCUCCUCGUCAUCGGCGGAAGGUCAGCGAACACAACCGGAAAGCAAGACUACUUACCCGAUCCGCCAUUGUGGAGCAAAAGUGGGGAAAAACGGAGGCUUGCUGUUUUACUCCCCGACAGACGACACGCUGAGUGGAUGUUUCGCAGCGACUCGAGCCCCAAUCCGCAGUCCAGCAAGUCGACGUCCGCGGCCCGUGUCGUCUGAGCGAGUAAGAGCCGGAGGGGUUGGCCGAGGCGCAGCGGGCAGAGAGCGAGAGCCAAGCGGGGAAACAGCGCUCAGGUAGCGGGUAGCAACGGUGGCAGCAGCGGAGACAGUGGACACUCAGCAUAGCAAGCAGCUCGGGUUCCUGGAGGAUGUCUGCCACAACUGUCGAUCAGAGACCUAAAGGACAAGGAAAUAAAGUGCAAAACGGUUCAAUGCAUCAGAAGGAUGCUGUAAAUGAUGAUGACUUUGAGAAUUACUUAAGCAGCCAGACGAAUCAGAGUAAUAGCUACCCACCAAUGUCUGACCCCUACAUGCCCAGCUACUAUGCCCCAUCCAUCGGUUUCCCUUACUCUCUGGGUGAAGCUGCAUGGUCCACCGCAGGAGAUCCUCCUAUGCCCUACUUGACCACCUAUGGACAGAUGAGCAAUGGUGAACACCACUUCAUCCCUGACGGAGUGUUUAGCCAGCCUGGAGCUCUAGGCAACACUCCCCCUUUUCUCAGCCAACAUGGAUUUAACUUCUUUCCUGGCAAUGCAGACUUUUCCACUUGGGGCACCAGUGGCUCACAGGGACAGUCAACGCAGAGCUCAGCGUACAGCAGCAGCUAUGGCUAUGCCCCGAGUUCUCUGAGCAGGGCCAUAGCGGACGGACAGGCAGGGUUUGGCAGUGACACGCAACUUAGUAAAGUUCCGGGUCUCAGUGGUAUCGAUCAGGGCAUGGCUGGACUCAAGCUGGGAUCUGACAUGGCAGCCGUCACUAAAACUGUGGGUUCCCCUCUUGGAGGAACUGCAGGUAUGAGCAGUAUGGCAGCCAACAACGUGCCGCCUGUUAGCUCCUCCGCCCCCAAGCCCACAUCAUGGGCGGCAAUAGCUAGGAAACCUGCCAAACCGCAGCCCAAGCUAAAACCUAAAUCCCACGUAGGCAUGGGGAGCGGUGCUACGAUUCCACCGCCACCUAUAAAGCAUAACAUGAACAUUGGUACUUGGGAUGACAAAGGCUCCAUCACAAAGCCUCCCCUUGCUCAACAGAUGCUCCCACCUCAGCCACUGGUGCAGCAGCAGCUCCUGGCCCAGCCCCAGCCGUUACUGCCAAACCCACUGCCUCCACAGCCUCAGCACCAGCAGCUCCAGCUGCAGUCCCCCCAGCCCCCUCAGCAACUGCCACCAGGCCCCCCUCACCAUCACCCUCUCCAACACCAUCAUUCUCAACCCGGUCCCCCUCAGCCUCCGCACCAGCACCCACACCCACACCCACUCUCCCAGCAGAAUGCACCACCUCAGAAUCGUUGGGUGGCCCCGAGGAACCGAGCUGCGACCUUUAACCAGAACAGUGGUGUCGAGAACUUUGGCCUGGGCCCUGGUGUGCCCUUGAGCACCUCACCCUCCACAAGUGAGGUCCACCCCGUGCUGGAGAAACUCAAAGCCCUCAACAACUACAACCCUAAAGACUUUGACUGGAACUUGAAGAAUGGACGGGUAUUCAUUAUCAAGAGCUACUCGGAGGACGACAUCCACCGCUCCAUCAAGUACUCCAUAUGGUGCAGCACUGAGCACGGUAACAAGCGCCUGGAUGCUGCCUACCGCUCGCUGGGGGCCAAGGGCCCGCUGUACCUGCUGUUCAGCGUCAACGGCAGCGGCCACUUCUGCGGCGUGGCCGAGAUGAAGUCCACAGUGGACUACAACGCCUAUGCUGGCGUCUGGUCUCAGGACAAGUGGAAGGGCAAGUUCGAAGUGAAAUGGAUCUUUGUCAAGGACGUGCCGAACAACCAGCUGCGGCACAUCCGCUUAGAGAACAAUGACAACAAGCCCGUCACCAACUCCAGGGACACUCAAGAGGUGCCCCUAGAGAAAGCAAAGCAAGUGCUUAAAAUUAUUGCUACUUUCAAGCAUACCACCUCAAUCUUUGAUGAUUUUGCACAUUACGAAAAGCGUCAGGAGGAGGAGGAAGCCAUGCGAAGGGUAAGCGUGGCUCUCUCGCACACUCCACUGUAGCUGAAAGCAAUCUCUGCAUCUAUAGAUCACACCGAUCCUAUUCCUCAAACCCUAUUGGAUUAGAACAUUGUCAGCAUGUCCAUUCAGUUCAAAGGGAGGCCUAUUUAACAGGGCUUGGAUUUGCAAGCCAAAUGAGUGUUUCUCCUUCAAAGGCAAGCAUGAGAGAGCAUCAUUAUUUGCCAAAAAUUAAAUUAGGCCUAUAUUAAGAAGACAAUGAGUCUGGAAAUUGUAAAGAAUUCUGUGGCUCCCGUGAUUCAUGGAACUUCUCACUGAUGGGUUCACAGAAAUGCAUCAUAAAAUAAAUGGAAAUUACAGAGAGAGAGGGGAAAGAAGCUGUGGCCCCUUAGCAUGUUACCUAACACAGUUCAAACAGCCAGCAGAUGUCCCAUUAGUAGAUGUUAAAGUGACAUCAUUUCCAUCCCACACAAUACAAAUUAUUAAUGACUGUGCCCAUUACUAAGAAAUCAGCUGAUGUUCAUCUCCAUAUGUGUUUUAAUAUUCUGUUAAAUUGGACAGAAUGGAAAAGGUGUAGCCAGAAGAAAAUUAUGCAAAUUAGGGAUGCACAAUAUUAGAAUUAACUUGUUAGCAGCAGGUAACUCCUUUUAAACCAGUACAUAUGUAAACAGUGUUGUACUAUUUGUAACUAAUUACUUUCAGUCAAAAGUAUUUGUUGAGUGUCAAAAAGAUGCUGUAGAUGUUAUUUCCGCUAGACUGCUGAUUGGCUGAUUCACCAUACAUUAAAAAUAAGAACACCAGCAUUUUGUGAUUUGUUUGUUAAUUUGAACAUUUACACAAUGUUUGCAAGUAGAGUAUAAAAAAAUCUUUGAAGUCACUUUAAACCCUUUAAUGUGUGUCAUCUGACUAUACCAAUCUUGGUUAUCUUUAACAAUGUCAUUAAGGCUAAUAUGUAAAUUAUUUAUUUUCUGAUUGGCUACUAUGUGUUGUGGCUUGUUCAAAAUGCAAUCCUUGGUUGUUUCUUGGUGCCAAGAAUGUGAAGGAUGAACUUGUGUUAAUGGAAAAAAUAUUCUUUACAAGAUACAAAAAUAUGUCACACAUGUAUGAGAGAGAUUUUCUGUAUGUUCUAUUGCGCAAUAGUCUCCCCUGGGCUCAGCCUAUUACAUUAGGAACAUUUCUGACAUUUUAAAACUGUAACUAAACAGUAAAUGUAAAUGUGAUAAAUGUCAGUUUUUCCUUUACAAAAAACUGAACAGCGUGGGUCGAAGCAAAAAAACAGAACAGUAAACAUUGUUGCAAGAAUUUCUAACCGAAGAGAGAGGAGCAGCCGAGCUGAGGUGCUGAUCGAGCGGGGGAGAGACAAGCCCGUUACAGUGCCAUUUAUCUUUGGUUGUAGCUUAGAGAUUAUACCCUUUACUAUGACAGAUACAAGCUAAUGUGUUCUAGAAAUAGCCCUUUAUUCAAUCUUACUCAUAAAUAUAGCCAUUUAAUUCUUUUCGUUUCACCUGUAAGGUGUUUAAAAUAAGGGGGGCUAACAGACUAAAAUUACUAAUACUAAACACACAGGGAAUGCCAAAAUAACACUUAAAGCCUCCGGUUUACAAAUUGUCAGAAAAAAAACUUUCCUUUAGGUUCCAAUUCGAUUUGAGUAAAAGUUUAUCACUUAGAUUCAUCGUUAAUGUAGAUUUGGGAAAAAAAGUAGAGCACACAGUAAACAUAAUGGACAUCCUACUGGGGUUCAAGACGUGCCACUAUUAUCAGCCGUAAAGCUGCUGCAGGGAUUCAUGGGACUUUUAGAUCAUUCUGGUUAUAUACGUCAUCUAGUAAACUUUCCUUUAUAUUUUGGAUGGAGCACAAUCUGGAUGCUUUAAGGCUUUGUUCACAUUUCGAUCAUAAUUAAUCAGUUCCAAAUUUUUGCUCAGAUCAGAUUAGGCUAUUUUGAUAGUUUACACUCAUAAAUAGAAGUGACAUAUCUGUCUGUAAUGUAAUGAACUUGUUUCUAAAACUGCACGUGUGUACAUUGACACAUUUAUGCACAAUGCCUCUGAUUUUUUUUAUUUGCUCGGAGUGUUUUCCUAAAUAUUGACUCUCUACCAGAAUUCAAAUUCCCUGAAGUGAUAUUCAGUUGUUUAUUGCGAUGGAAAAGUAAUAUAAAUAGUGUUUUUUUUUAUUAUUAUUAUUCCUUUUACCAACAACAGGAAUCGCUAAUGUAAUUUAGAGCAUGUCUGACAAAUUGGAUAUGUAGACAGUCUAGGACCACAUAUAAAAGGGACUAAAUUUUGGGAUUGACAUACAGCACUGAAAAAAUCUGAUCUGUGCCAUAAAGCAAAUUGCGUUUAUAUCACGUCAGUCUUGUAAUGUGAAUGUAGCACAGUUCUAUGCAUCGUAUGGGAGAUUUUCCCUACCUAAUCACAUGCUGCAGUUACGGGAAGGUCUAGACUGUAGACUUAUUUACUAGACCAAUGUAAACAAGUGGGACUGGGCCUUUUUUGCAGCAUGUUUUCAUAUAUGGCCUGUAUGGGUUAGGGAGGGAAUAUUGUGAUUUAAAUUCUACAUCAAAACAAUCUGGGCCUAUAAAGCACAGGAGGGGCAUUUAAAAAUGGUUAAGCUAUUGUCAGCUAUAUAUGAGACCAGUGGAAUAAUUUCUGUACUGUGAGAAAUAAGAACAUUUAAGUGACAAGAGACAGAAUAUGAUGAUGAUAAAACUUUUUAAAUAAAAAUAAAUAUAUAUAUGUGUUUGUAUUUGCAUCAUCAGAUGUGUACGCUGACAUUAUAUAAUGUCUGUGUUUGCUGGAAUUCUUGUAUCUAUGCAUCCUCAAUAUGGAAGUGCAAAUUUGAUCACUAUUGUCUGAACGCAGUUAUUGUGUUAGUUGUAUGGAGUGAAAAGUGGCUGUACGUAAUGGGUUAGACUAGCAUUUACUGUGUGGCAGGUCAGCACUUUGGAGAAUUGGGUUUUACAGGAGCUUGAUUCCCAGUACAUUUGAUUAAUAAUCUGUCCUGGAUUGCAUGGACAGUAAUGAAUUAAAGUACACCCGUUUCAGCACAGGCCUUUUUCCUCUCUGCAGAGGCUUACCUUUUUUGUGUGGCUCUGCCUUUUUCCCAUUUUGAAUCAUUGCUAAAGAUUUAUAUUCUUGUAAUCCUAAAGCAUAAGCAGGACAUAAAGAUAUUUAAUUAGCAGGAAAACAUUCAAAAUGAUUUAAAAACAUAUAUAAUAUCUUAGUUGCGGUAGCAUGGUGCUCAUUCAAGGUAAAAAGUGUUUGUAACUAUUUGUGCGUGUUGCUCACACACAUUCGAAGAAAUAUCUGCUUUUAAUGGUACACACUGACAGCACGGAUUGCUGUGGAUUGGAACACACUGAUCCAUCUAAAUGUUUGGGUUCUUGGAAAAGGUGCUGUUAUCCUGCCUGCUUGACAGACAAUGUUUCAGUUCAGAUAUACAGACACCUAACAUGCUGUUCAGUCUUAUGUAAUUUUGUGUUAUUUGCAGACGGAAAAUAGUCACGCAUUAAUUGUAGACGCAGCAGGUUAGGUUAUAAAUGACUUGUUUUCAGAGAUGUGGCUGAUAUCUGAUGGUGGAUUUUGUCCCAGAACAUAAGUUCCUUUGUUUUGUGAUGGAGACCGCACAAUAUCUGUUUUUGUUUUUAGAGCUGAUGCUGAUAUUGAAACUUUGAGGAUCUGCUAAAAAGCUAGUAUUAUAUUUAGUACUUAUAUUUAUACUCUCAGAAUGUCUCUUAUCCCUACUUAAUUGAAAUACAGCUUAACUUGUUCAAGUUUUAAAAUGUACUGUUUACUACCAAGACUAAGAAGUCCAUAUGUGGAAGCUAAGUUGCAAAAAACUUAUUAAAAGUGUUUCUGCAAUGUUAUUAGUACCAAAUUCUUUAUGUACCUACCAGAGUUUAAUGUGGCCCUCUCAUACUGCAGUUCACAGAAGUGUUUUUUUUUUUUUUCUUGAGUGAGACACCACAGGGGAAAGCCAGUUAGAGCUAAGGGACAAAAGUCUAAAAAAUGGUCGUGUGAAUAACACCUUCACGAAUAACAUAAAUUCCCCCAAAUAACACCAAGAACUAAAAGUUCUGGGGUGCUGGGCAUGCACCUAAACAUUGCUGUGACCCACUUCCUCACUGUGGAUGAAAAUACUUAAAAUGAUUAAAAUAAAUGUUAACCUCUUAAACUCUGUGGAACCACCGAUGGUUCCUGGCCUCAACCCACAGGUUUGCAUUGCUUAGCAUGCAGUUAACAUUUUUAGGAUGUAAUACAAGUUGCUGAGCAUGGGGGUUAAAACUAUUUGUUAAUCGAAGCACUUUCUUUUAUGAAGCAACAGCGCUGAGAAACCGGAAAUUAGGGCUGCAUGAUAUUGGGGAAAAACUGACAUUGUGAUAUUUUGCUGUGCUGCAAUAUAUAUUUUGGUAAAAAAAUAUAUAAUUUUCACCCAUCUCAUCAAGGUGUCAGUGCAAUCUUUGUGUCAGUGAGUAAGGUCAAAUAAAUGAUAACAUGGUUCAUAUCAUUGCUUAUCUCGGAUAUUGUCAUUCAAAAUGAUAACCGUGUGGAUUUUACUUUGUAUAAAGCAGCAAGAUGGUUUUAAACAUGUAGUUGCACAAAACGUUGCUGGACCUCAGGAGAAAAAAUAAAUACAAGGAAGACGAAGGAUAUCAGCCUUUGACCACAGCUAGGAAUGAAAUAAUAUAAGAAUCCUAUCGUUAUUGGCAGAGGUGCAGAUUACACUGAUAUUUUUGUGUGGUUUCAUGUAUUUUUGAUCUCCAGGAAGCUGUAGAGAUGUAGUUUUAGCACGUCAAGUAUUAGUAAUAGCAUAAGCAGAUACGCACAUGAAAAACAUUUGCUAUUGGGGAAAAAAAAAAUCACACAGAUCAGUGCAUCCUUGGUCAUUGAACUACACUAGUGGACUAGACAAGGCUAACAGGCAUGGCUUUCCUGAUGUAACUCACAUUCUUCACAUUCCUGCUCUGAGACAAAGCGGAGGUAGGCUCUGCUGUGUCUUUGAACAUGAGAGUUUGGCCUCCAUUGGCUGUUCAUUCUGUAAAGCUUUGACAUGUACUUGGUUAUAGUUGGAGAAGUGGCUUUUCUGCCUUUAGAACAAGGUUGCAGUUACUUUUAGUAGUGAUAUUUGCAUAUGUGAGCCAGUGAUGAUACUAAUUCAGUACUACAGAAAGUUACAGUGUUGUAGAACUAAAAUGGAUUUAAGGCUCUGGAUGACUUAAGCGAUGUGCUUGCUCUGUGCUGACACCAUUUUUCCCUGCAGUGUAUUAACACAGCUGGUUAAUUUGUACCAAGUUUCUCCCUCAUGAAUAAAUCAAGAAGGUGUGCAGGGGGAGGCCUGAAACCUAGCUGUCAGGAGCUCUGAUGGACUUUAUUCUCAAACAUGCAGUCAUGCUAGACUGAGCUAGUGAUCCACAGCUUAGAAUCAUCAGCUCUUCUUCCUGUAUUGCCUAGGAACGAACUAGAAAUAAACAGUAACCUUACCGAGGUCUCCCUGCUAGAACUUCAACACUAAUAAUGUAGAACCUUGAAUAUUGCCUAACCACAGAGGAAGAAGGGGGUUCUGAUGAUAUAUUUUCUGCUGAAGACCAUGUAUGAACACUUAACACGACCAUGGACUGUUGUGUCAAUUUUUGAUGCAUCUGCCCUUACUCUCAAGUCUCUCACGAAGAAAAAAAAGAGAAAAGAAUUAUAGCAAAUUGCUCACUUAAAACUGUAUCUUUAAGCACUUUCAGUCCUUCUAAAAAAGCUUUUACCAAUUACCCUUAAUAACUCUCACCGGACUGUUUUGGUAUUAAUUGACUAACCAGUGUCGUUGGUUUGGGGAUUUGUUUCACCAGACUCAUUUGUUGGUUGAUUAUUUCUUUUCUUUUUUUUUUUUUUGUUGCAUUAUUGUAUUUUUUUCCCCGUACGAUUUCAGGCACUCUCAGAGGAGAAAAGGAUAAAAUAAUAUGUAUAAUGACAAAUCUUUACUUGAAUCUGUGAAGCUGUGUGAUUUUCCAGUUCGAGAGCAGAACUGAGAGGCAGACGAGGCGCUCGUUUCGUUUUGCCUGCCGGAAGCCCAGGUUGGAAUAAUCAUGUCCGUUGUUGUAGACUGAAUCCCCUUCCAUCCAACUACCCAUCCUCCCUUGUAUCAGCAUCUGUUUCUGUGUACCAAAAGAUAAUAAUUAUUAUGCAGUUUGGUGGAUGACACCAGUUAAUGCACAAUUUCUUUUUUUUUUUUUUUUUUCCUUUUCCUUUGUUUUGUUUUGUUUUGUUUUGUUUUGUUAGAUUUUCUUGUAACCGUCAUUCAAAAGUGCAUUUGUCUAAGGAGACGUUCGCUCUGUGACGCCAUACCCUCACAGCUGCCCUCUCCUCUAAAGUCUGUGUACCUCACUCUGAAGCAGGCCUCGCUGAAGCACCUCUGUAAUGCUUUCGGGACUAAACCCCACCACCCCUUCUGGCACUGGGUUUCGUCCCGAACGCAGCAGCUUCGAAAGACAGCGACAGUCUACUCCUCUAGGUGACUCACUAGCUAAAUAAACAUUAUCCAUGUUUAGCGAUA
Molecule: RNA transcript, 8931 nt
Organism: Astyanax mexicanus (Mexican tetra)
Lineage: Eukaryota; Metazoa; Chordata; Actinopteri; Characiformes; Acestrorhamphidae
Gene: ythdf3
Gene name: YTH N(6)-methyladenosine RNA binding protein 3
Exons: 5
Source: RefSeq, a predicted model, not a curated record